GCUUGCUACCUGACCUAGCGGCGGACGGGUGAGUAAUGCUUAGGAAUCUGCCUAUUAGUGGGGGACAACAUUCCGAAAGGAAUGCUAAUACCGCAUACGCCCUACGGGGGAAAGCAGGGGAUCUUCGGACCUUGCGCUAAUAGAUGAGCCUAAGUCAGAUUAGCUAGUUGGUGGGGUAAAGGCCUACCAAGGCGACGAUCUGUAGCGGGUCUGAGAGGAUGAUCCGCCACACUGGGACUGAGACACGGCCCAGACUCCUACGGGAGGCAGCAGUGGGGAAUAUUGGACAAUGGGCGCAAGCCUGAUCCAGCCAUGCCGCGUGUGUGAAGAAGGCCUUUUGGUUGUAAAGCACUUUAAGCGAGGAGGAGGCUACUUAGAUUAAUACUCUAGGAUAGUGGACGUUACUCGCAGAAUAAGCACCGGCUAACUCUGUGCCAGCAGCCGCGGUAAUACAGAGGGUGCGAGCGUUAAUCGGAUUUACUGGGCGUAAAGCGUGCGUAGGCGGCUUUUUAAGUCGGAUGUGAAAUCCCUGAGCUUAACUUAGGAAUUGCAUUCGAUACUGGGAAGCUAGAGUAUGGGAGAGGAUGGUAGAAUUCCAGGUGUAGCGGUGAAAUGCGUAGAGAUCUGGAGGAAUACCGAUGGCGAAGGCAGCCAUCUGGCCUAAUACUGACGCUGAGGUACGAAAGCAUGGGGAGCAAACAGGAUUAGAUACCCUGGUAGUCCAUGCCGUAAACGAUGUCUACUAGCCGUUGGGGCCUUUGAGGCUUUAGUGGCGCAGCUAACGC
Molecule: ribosomal RNA, 785 nt
Filed under: Acinetobacter sp. 49
Lineage: Bacteria; Pseudomonadati; Pseudomonadota; Gammaproteobacteria; Moraxellales; Moraxellaceae
Description: bacterial SSU rRNA
Rfam family: Bacterial small subunit ribosomal RNA
Source: RNAcentral